UGAUACGCUUGUGGAG
This 16-nucleotide small RNA is filed under the name Arabidopsis thaliana (thale cress). Its description in RNAcentral is "ATSL193160". The record is from RNAcentral. Lineage: Eukaryota; Viridiplantae; Streptophyta; Magnoliopsida; Brassicales; Brassicaceae.